RNAcentral lists this ribosomal RNA (1316 nucleotides) under Rathayibacter tritici. Its description in RNAcentral is "bacterial SSU rRNA". It matches the Rfam family "Bacterial small subunit ribosomal RNA", at positions 102 to 1428 of the family's 1533-position model. The record is from RNAcentral. Lineage: Bacteria; Bacillati; Actinomycetota; Actinomycetes; Micrococcales; Microbacteriaceae.
ACGGGUGAGUAACACGUGAGUAACCUGCCCUUGACUCUGGGAUAAGCGCUGGAAACGGCGUCUAAUACCGGAUACGACCUGCCCCGGCAUCGGGUGCGGGUGGAAAGUUUUUCGGUCAAGGAUGGACUCGCGGCCUAUCAGCUUGUUGGUGAGGUAAUGGCUCACCAAGGCGACGACGGGUAGCCGGCCUGAGAGGGUGACCGGCCACACUGGGACUGAGACACGGCCCAGACUCCUACGGGAGGCAGCAGUGGGGAAUAUUGCACAAUGGGCGAAAGCCUGAUGCAGCAACGCCGCGUGGGGGAUGACGGCCUUCGGGUUGUAAACCUCUUUUAGUAGGGAAGAAGGGCUUCGGCUUGACGGUACCUGCAGAAAAAGCACCGGCUAACUACGUGCCAGCAGCCGCGGUAAUACGUAGGGUGCAAGCGUUGUCCGGAAUUAUUGGGCGUAAAGAGCUCGUAGGCGGUUUGUCGCGUCUGCUGUGAAAACCCGAGGCUCAACCUCGGGCCUGCAGUGGGUACGGGCAGACUAGAGUGCGGUAGGGGAGAAUGGAAUUCCUGGUGUAGCGGUGGAAUGCGCAGAUAUCAGGAGGAACACCGAUGGCGAAGGCAGUUCUCUGGGCCGUUACUGACGCUGAGGAGCGAAAGCGUGGGGAGCGAACAGGAUUAGAUACCCUGGUAGUCCACGCCGUAAACGUUGGGAACUAGAUGUGGGGACCUUUCCACGGUCUCCGUGUCGCAGCUAACGCAUUAAGUUCCCCGCCUGGGGAGUACGGCCGCAAGGCUAAAACUCAAAGGAAUUGACGGGGGCCCGCACAAGCGGCGGAGCAUGCGGAUUAAUUCGAUGCAACGCGAAGAACCUUACCAAGGCUUGACAUAUACCGGAAACGUCCAGAAAUGGUCGCCCCGCAAGGUCGGUAUACAGGUGGUGCAUGGUUGUCGUCAGCUCGUGUCGUGAGAUGUUGGGUUAAGUCCCGCAACGAGCGCAACCCUCGUUCUAUGUUGCCAGCACGUUAUGGUGGGAACUCAUAGGAGACUGCCGGGGUCAACUCGGAGGAAGGUGGGGAUGACGUCAAAUCAUCAUGCCCCUUAUGUCUUGGGCUUCACGCAUGCUACAAUGGCCGGUACAAAGGGCUGCGAUACCGUAAGGUGGAGCGAAUCCCAAAAAGCCGGUCUCAGUUCGGAUUGAGGUCUGCAACUCGACCUCAUGAAGUCGGAGUCGCUAGUAAUCGCAGAUCAGCAACGCUGCGGUGAAUACGUUCCCGGGCCUUGUACACACCGCCCGUCAAGUCAUGAAAGUCGGUAACACCCGAAGCC